CCUUUCCUGUUAAUUUAUUUCCAAAUUUAAUCUCCAUUCAAAUAUGAUGUUUUAUGAAAUAUAAUGUCCUUUUGUCACAUUGUGCACUAAGAGUAUUACUUUUCUAUUUUGUGUGGGGAAGGCUGUAAUAUCUGUUCAGCUCUAUCAAGAACAAAUGUACAGAGCGUCCCACCUAUUGAGACACUGCCUUAUUUCAGGUUAGCUUCAGUAUAGAAGAGGGAGAAUUGCUGUGUUCCUGUGACCCUGGGGAAAAAGGAAUUCCUAGAUUCACCUUCAGGACAAAGAUUGACCCGGUAGAAAAUAAAACUGAGGAAAGAAGAAGAUACGCACAACAGAGGGGAAGACAUUGGCUGAGCCUCACAAACAUUGCAGAUAUCCCUAUGUGACUCAGAAUCAACACAAGAUCCUGCCUUUAAACACUGAUGCCGAAAAUCAAGAACAUCCUUUAAACUGAAACCAUCAGAACAAACAUGUUUAAACAACACAAAUGUUAUUAUUAAUGUAAAGCAUUUCUAAAAUGCUUUUUUAAAUGUGAAAAAGCAACGAAAGUUUUAGUUCUGACACCACCAGACAAAUAGCUAGGAAACAGACACUUCUGUCUUCACAACAGUAAAAAUAAAACAAACUGAAAAUCAGUAAGUUUUGCGGGCCUAUCAGAAAACUAAGAUUGCAGGAAGAGCUGUCACACCCAAAUAUGAAGAAAUAGAAGACUUCAGAGAGACAAAACCAAGUUCUGCUUAUCAGAAGUAGAAGACACUGGAGACAUAUAAACUCAUAAGAACACUUAGAACACUUACAUGGCAAUGUUAACAAAUUGCUGUAAUCUGAGUAUGGACUAUCUUGAGAGUGAUAAUCCCUUAAGAGCUUCAGUAUUAGAGGGGCCUGCCACAUUCACGGCCUUUAUCUACAGUUAUCUCACCAGAUACUCACAGUGAAGAUGCCCUUGUAGCUCUGGCUGGGGCGGAGGAAGAGCAAUCCUUGUGAAUUACCUCCAGAGUAUGCUCUGUAAAACAGGUUUAUUUUUCCAGGAGAAAAGACACUAACAGCGUCUUCUAAUGUCCAUGAGGUGAUGAAUGAUGACCCUUAUUUCAUUUCUCUUUUAUUCUUGGUUAGCCUGGUUAGAUGUUUAUAAAAUUUCUUAAAUUUUUCGUAAAAGAACUGAUGGCUGGAGAGCAUUGAAACAGACAGAUGAAAAUUAAAGAAGAAAUAAAAAUAAAAUUAAAAAGGGAAAAACAA
Molecule: long non-coding RNA, 1236 nt
Filed under: Homo sapiens (human)
Lineage: Eukaryota; Metazoa; Chordata; Mammalia; Primates; Hominidae
Description: non-protein coding lnc-DDIAS-3:2
Source: RNAcentral